CCAUAGAGAGACCCACAGUGAUCCGUAAGGACCCGCAGCGACCCAUAUGGACCCAUAGGGACCCAUAGGGACACAUAGAGACCCAUAGAGAGACCCAUAGGGACCCAUAGAGACCCAUAGCGACCCAUAGGGACCCAUAGAGACCCCUAGAGAGACCCAGAGCGACAUAUAGAGACCCAUAGGGACCCAUAGAGACUCCAUAGUGACCCAUAGGGACCCACAGCGACCCAUAGCGACUCAUAGCGGCCCAUAGAGAGCCAUAGGGACACAUAGAGAGACCCAUAGAGACCCGUAAGGACCCACAGCGACCAAUAGGGACCCAUAGAGACCCA
Molecule: long non-coding RNA, 332 nt
Filed under: Gallus gallus (chicken)
Lineage: Eukaryota; Metazoa; Chordata; Aves; Galliformes; Phasianidae
Source: RNAcentral